CUCGGGAGUGUGUCAAGAGUAAAUAUUCGGCUGAGGUUCCAAAGGCUCAGAGGUCAUUCUUACGGCAGCAGUGAGAGCCUGCACGUCUGUGGACCGGGUGGGUGACUCAGAAUGUGGCUGUUCAGAAGAUGGAGGGAAUUUCCUUCACCAGACCUCUCAAGGAAAACGCUGUGCCUGCUGGAAGGAGG
Molecule: long non-coding RNA, 188 nt
Organism: Bos indicus x Bos taurus (hybrid cattle)
Lineage: Eukaryota; Metazoa; Chordata; Mammalia; Artiodactyla; Bovidae
Source: Ensembl